This is a long non-coding RNA of Mesocricetus auratus (golden hamster), 3930 nucleotides long. RefSeq lists it as uncharacterized. The record is from RefSeq and is a predicted model, not a curated record. NCBI's taxonomy places the organism in Eukaryota, Metazoa, Chordata, Mammalia, Rodentia, Cricetidae. The transcript is spliced from 7 exons.
UUUAUUGACAAAUGCACAGGACUUCCCCAACAGUUGAUUACAUUGAAAUUUUUCAUCUUCUUACUAUUAUUGUGUGUAAGUAUACAAUAUAUGUAUAACUGAGGGAUUACACACAUAUCUUUUGGGAGUCCAUUCUCUCCUUCCCCCGUGGAGUCCUAGGACUGAACUCAGGUCCUCAGGCUUGUACAGCAAGUGACCUUACCCACUGAGCCAUCCCUCCAGCCCACUCUCCAAAUUUUAAGAGCACAUGUCAUUUGAUAGAUUUUAGUGUACACGGAUUGUACAAUAUUACCACGGUCUACCUCCAGAAUGUUUCACUGUCCUAAAAAGAAAUCCAUGCCCAGCCAUUGAAAAAUUGGGUAUGCCGCUGACUUUUGACGUUAUUGCUGUUGCCAAGUAACCUUUCCAUAUGAAUUCUGUAAGUUAGCUACCCUGAUCCUGACUGAACCAAGAGAAGGGUGACUUCCUCAGAUUGCUGAAUCAUCAAGUCUUGUGUCUUUUCCAAAGGCUUGCAUAUUGGCUUAUACUUUGAAGGCCCCAGAACUUCAUAACUUUUUGUGUGAGUUCCCUGUGCGCCAGAGGUGAGGCAUUUACCGUGGAAUCUCUCAGAGCACACCCAAGUCUGCAUAUGGGCAUGGACUCCUAGAUCACCUGCCACGUGCUGAAGCUUCUCAGAACGCCACGAGAACAUCUCCCCGAGAACUUCUUUUUAAAUGGUCUUGUUCCCAGCAGCUAUUGCUGUAUCAGACAGCUACAACGUGAAAACAUUUCUAUUGUUUCUGACCCCAAAAGUUGAAUGAGGCCAAAUAACAUCUUAUGAGAUGGACUUUUCCAGGGAGGCAUGACAGGGACAAUUCUAUGGAAUGAACAUUUUGAGGAGCUUUCAACACACGUUGCCUCUCCAGCACAUUUACUUCAAUUGGGACAUCAGAGAAGGAAGAACGUCACAGCUGUUGGGGAGGAAGGUAGAAAACCUGAAGAUGGAGUUUUCUACCAGGACUUUCAUGGUUGAUGAAUGAGAUCCUGGUUCCUGGAGGAUAACAAUCUCAACUCUGAGGAAUGGUCCAUCUGAAGAUCAGCACGGAACAAGCAAUUCAUAUCCCCAGAAGACCUACCCUCACCGUUUUGGAGGACACUGCCCAAUCUGUUGAGAGCUCUGGAAGAAUGAAAACAGGCAAUGAGGGCAAUGCUGUGCCCAUCAGCCCAGAAGAAAUUGGAUUUCCUCUGAAAACUCUGAUGAAUUGCUUCCAGGGAGACUGGUUUUCUACAGAGACUGCCAUCCCACCCUGGGAGAAACAAGACAAAGACGCCAAGAUCUCUAGCCCCACAUCUUCCAGUGCGAGGAGCGACGAGGGCACACCACUAAGUACUUAAUGUUUCACUAUCCUCUGCGCCUUGAUGACCUUUAUAAAUCCCAGAAUGACACUCUGAAGGCAAAGGGGAGACUAACGGAGCUCUCAACAGUCUCCGAUGAACAGUGCGCCAGAAUUACAAAGCUGAGUUAUUAAACAAAAUUGACAGAAAGCUACCUUACCCAGUAGCGAAGACUAACAAAUGGGCAGAAGAAGUCCAUGGAGUGGGAAGGUGCUACAAGAUACCCUAAAGAGAAAGUGGGAAAUGCCCCAAACUAUGCAAUUAAAUGAGCUUCCGUGACGGACUGAAAUGAAAUCAUGUAGCCAACAGUAAUAAGUAAUUGAUGGUGUGAUCUCUUGAUUCUAUGUGAACUGCUACCAUCCCCACCUGUUGUGAGAAAGAUGGAUCUGAGGGAGUUUUUAACUAGAGAUGAUGCAGGCACACCUGACUUCGAAGAGACUCAUAAGGGCCAACUACCUGCCUAAGGUCAUCUGGUCACCAGCACUGAGACUGAAUUCUCUUUUUCAAGACGGAAUUUUGAUUACAUAACAACAUGCUGGCCCGACUCCACAGAGUCAUCCAUUUAAACUACUGAGCUGGACUAUAAGAAAACAGUUUACAACAGAACCAAGCUUAAGGAGAUAACAACUGCUUACUUAUCAGGAGAACCUGGGUCACCUCUUGUGGCAGCCCUGUGGGAAGUUGUAAGGCACUAUGGGCAUGCACACACCUAUCAGUGUGGGUGUGGUGCUGCUGUUAUCCCAGUGGAGGACAGGACUGCCUGAAAUCUCAGAGGUCACAGAUUUAAAACAUUAAAAAUGUUAUGCCUGCGUUUUCGUCUGCAUGCAUGUGUGCACUAUGUGCAUGCCAGUGCCUGCAGAGGCUAAAACAGGGCACAGAGCUCCCCGGACUGAAAUGAGCUGUUUGAUGUUACUGGGACCUGAACUCACGUCCCUGAAAGAGCAGUAUGUGCUCUUAGCUGCUGAGCCAUCUCUCCAGUACCGAGGAUACAGAUUUUUCAAGAAAAUAUUUGCGGAUCCUUAAAAGGAAAAGAAGUCAUUCAAAAGAUAACAAAACACCUUGGAUGCCUGAGCUAGUUUUUCUCAAAUACAACCAAAGGUGGUGGGUAGGUCAGAGCUGAAAGUGUCUCAUUCCUGUGCACGUGAGGCCUCCACAGUCAGAGUCUCAGUCUGCGGUGCUUGGAGAGAGUAUACAGAGCCUCACCAGGUCUGGUAGGGUCCAUGGCAGGGUGCAUGCAGCCUCCCUGUGAUCUCACUGUGACCUCCAUGUCAGGGAGAAAACUCCAGGGGAAGAAGGCGGAGACAAGGGCUCCUGGAGCAAAUGCUAACCACCUUCCUUUGAACUUCUUUUGCAUUGUGCUCCAUCUAGUAGCAGGAAGAGUUAUUUGAAAUUAUCCAUGGGUCAGAAAUAGCAUUAGAAUUGGACCUACUCUGCCUAGACUUCAAGUUGCUGACUACAGGAUGGGCUCAGGCUCCAUCAUGAGCAGACCAGUGCUCCACACCAUCAUUGCAAGAAGUCAUGGUGGGGAAUGUGGGGGAAAAGGAGGCAGCAACAGAGAAACCCCUGCCUGUCCCUUUCAGAGAUUCUGCUCUGGCCUGCUUUCUGUUUCCUGGCUCCACACCUCCUUCUCAACAAAGACUCUACAUUCCCAGCCACAGGAGGUGAUGCUGGGUGACACUGCAUGUUUCCUGGGAGUCAGCAGGAGAUCUUGAAUGCCUUGAAUGUCUGAGUGUAUUUUCAUUUCAAUCUGGGAGUCUGGUUUACUGGUAUUCAUUUCUAAUGUUUUCAGAGAGGAACGUUUCAAAUGUGGUGAAACAAACAUUAGUUUGUGACCCAAAUGUUUCCGCAGAACAUUUCUUGGGCUGGGGUUGUGUGAAUAUUUGUAACCAGUUGGGCAUGAAAACUGUGGGGAAUGUAUUGGGAAGAGUCGCAGGAGGGGAGACACUCCCAGCAAGUGCAGCCAGCAUGGCCUUCGGAUGUCUGCUGUUCCUUCACAUCCCAUGUGGCAGUGCACACACAGUUGUCAUUCCUGAUGUGUCUCUUCCAGUCCUUCUCCCACUACUACUAACUGACGACUGUGAUCUCACUGCUCAAUCCCAGUGUGCCUCAGUUUCCAUGUCUGGAGACAUAAAUGGAUUAGGCUACAAGAGAUGGCAUCUGAAACUACUGUAAUUCACAGGAGGGCAGGAGAAGGAAAAGGGGGCAGCAUUAUUAAUAUUAUUUCCAUUUUCCAGGAAAUGUAAUUUAUGCAGAGAAAGAUGAAGAGAUGAGGCCCUGGGUCACACAGCUCAUCAGCUCGAGGCUGGGCUUAAAUGUGCAUCUCCUGAGCCUGAAGCCUGUAACCUUCCAUUAUACCAAGCUAGCUCACAGCAAUUUAUCUGCUUCCCCAGACUCCCCUGGGUCCUCUGCACUAAACGACAGUGUGCUGGGUUGCAGAUGGCCCCAUUUGUUAUUUGUUCUUUUACUUUAUUUUUCUAGUAUGCACUGUGUCACUCAUUUGAUUCAUACACACACACACACACACACACACACACACACACAGGGUGAGAGAGAAAG